AUGACCUUCGAAUUUCUCUACCGAUCGCGGCUUCUUCGAUCUCCAGUAGCCAUGGAUCUCGCGUUCAGCAUCAACAACACAAUGUAUCCCUCCAACUUCAGCGCCGAUGCUAAACCUUCGCCUCCCUCUUUUCACACUUCAUCAUCUCAUUUCUGUAAAUCUGCUUCAAACAUCACAAAUCAAAUUUCCAGUUUAAACUCGGCCUCCCAUGUUCAAGCUUAUCCGAGCGAAAGAGAGGAAAAAAUGGAAUCAAAUAAGAUCUGA
This is a non-coding RNA of Vicia faba (fava bean), 264 nucleotides long. The record is from the annotation of a GenBank genome assembly. Lineage: Eukaryota; Viridiplantae; Streptophyta; Magnoliopsida; Fabales; Fabaceae.